Long non-coding RNA from Crotalus tigris (Tiger rattlesnake), 568 nucleotides. RefSeq lists it as uncharacterized. Lineage: Eukaryota; Metazoa; Chordata; Lepidosauria; Squamata; Viperidae. The transcript has 2 exons. The record is from RefSeq and is a predicted model, not a curated record.
AUAAAAGAGACGAGGUUGCUUACCCCUGAGCUUGUUGGACAACAACUUGAAGCUUGCCAGACUCCGCAGGUGGCGCGUCAGAAGCUGAGUCCUCCCCCGUCGAGCUCCUCCUUCUCGCUGGAAAACUCCCUUGAGGGCGACAAGAGGGACUCCGCAGAACCCUUGAGUGACGUCAGAAUGCGUGGUGGAAACGGGAUAGAAAUCGGGCAGGAAGACCUGGGGACAAUACAGGGCUGGCACCGUGGGAUACAUUUUCUUAUUCCGAGGAACUGUAGUAUGCAAAAUGUUUGUUUUGGGAAUAGAAACAGGUCCCUUUUUUUUUUACCUGAGAAAUUAAAUUUCUUAAAAUGAAAAAGGGGGCACCUGAAUUGGAACCAGGGACAUCUUGAUGUGCAGUCAAAUGCUCUCCUACUGUGCUAUAUCCCCAUCUCUUUAGUUUUUUUGUUGCCGGCAUUUUGGGGAUAUUUGUCGCAUUGUAUUGAAAGACAGGUGGAAGAUUUUUCUGUGAAUUAUAUUAGUUUUUCAUGUGAGAUAAGAAUGUUCUUCUUUAAAAGGAGUGAUUGAACAA